UUGCUUUAGCAGCAAAUAUACUAAAAUUGGAAAGAUACAGAGAAAAUUACUCUGGGCUUUGCACAAGAAUGAUACGCACAUUUAUGAGCAAUUCUGUGUUUUU
Molecule: small nuclear RNA, 103 nt
Organism: Heterocephalus glaber (naked mole-rat)
Lineage: Eukaryota; Metazoa; Chordata; Mammalia; Rodentia; Bathyergidae
Source: Ensembl